This 2912-nucleotide long non-coding RNA is filed under the name Sus scrofa (pig). Its description in RNAcentral is "lncRNA (ENSSSCG00040031510.1)". The record is from RNAcentral. Lineage: Eukaryota; Metazoa; Chordata; Mammalia; Artiodactyla; Suidae.
GUAGCUGCCAGCCUACACCACAGCCACAGCAACUCGGGAUAUGAGCCUCGUCUUCGACCUACACCACAGGUCACAGCAAGGCCAGAUCCUUAACCCACUGAGUGAGGCCAGGGAUUGAACCUGCAUCCUCAUGGAUACUAGUUGGGUUCGUUAACCACUAAGCCACAAAGGAAUGCCAAGAUCUUCUUAUUUAAAAAUUAGUAGAGUAGUUAAGAACAUGGGCUGUAUCGUUAGGCAGAUGGUUGAGUUCAACCUCUGAUGCUGACUGUGUAUCUUGUGUAGGCAAGCUUUUCAACCUCCUGGGUUCAUUUUCUCAUCUAGUAAAUGGUGAUGAUUAUACCUCAGAAGGCUCUGGUGAGGAUUAGAUAUUAUGCAUAUAAAUAGAGGCUUCAGUUCCUGGAACACAGUAGGUGCUCAAUAAACAUUAGCUGCUAAUCAGUAAAUACUGUUCCCCCAGGGAACAGAUGCCAAGUGAAAAUGUAGAGUUGGAUGACUGAGGCUUUCUGGGGUCUGGGGAGGCACAGUGCUCUAUUUUGGGUUUGAAUGAGGUGAUCGAUAAUGAUGACAAACGCAAACAUUAAAACUUUAUGUCACAAUUUAUUACAGGAAGUUUUGAUCACAGUGAAAUACUAGUUCCUGAGAACUGUUUGUGCCUUCUUAUUCCUACAUCACAUUCUUAAGGGGAAAAUGAACCGUUAUUUUUCUCUCUUUGUUUAAUUCCUGCUUGAGUCCCUCUCCCUUCACGUCCCUUUUCUCCUUCCUGCUGUUUCCAGUACUGUAGCUACUGCUGGUCUCCAGUGACAGAGUAGACCUGCUAAUCCUCAGUAAGCACCUCCAAGGGCCAAAACCUGUGCUAAGAGCAGGGGGAGCAAAGAAGGUUAGUGAGAACCAGUCCUGUGCUUAAGGAGCUUACUGUUGGCUGGGUCAGACCAGGAGAAAGCUCACUGUGAUAGAAGCCAGAAUGUAAGCAGGGUGCUGUGGGGGCGGGUGAGACGUGACAGUUUCUUGUAUUUGAUGGCAGGCAAGACUUCCCAAAGGAGGCUUGUGAGCUGGGCCUGGAGGAAAGGGUGAGGCAUGCUUCUCAGGCUGGGAAGGGUCUGGAGCAAAGCAGAAAGCUGAGAUAGUAGGUAGGUAGUGUGUCUUAUUACAUGGGGAGUUGUCCUAGGAGACUGGAGUUACCAUGUCUACGAGUAGUCAUGGUGAGGACGGAAAUGUUGCGUCUUAUCUGCCUGAAAAGGUCUCCUAGGGAGACCUCUGACCUCUUGGUCCAGACUCUGCGUGUAAUACUCUUCUGGAAGAUGGAUUUGAAGAGAUAGUGAGGGCCAGUUUAAGAAGAGCCUUGAAUAUCAUUCAGAGUUUGUUCUUUAUUUGACCUAGCCCCCAGGGCAUCAGACAGUAGUUUUUGUGCAGACCUAGAAGAUGUACAUUGCAAAUGAUAUUCAGGUGGUUCUGGUCAGGGGACCUAACAGGAGGUCUGGGAGAGUUAGGGGUCCAUGAAGACUUCAGCUUGGCCCUUCAAGCUAUGAUAGGUGUUUCGAACAAUCUAAUGUGAGUUAUCCAUUGAUCCUUCCUAAGUUCGUAACUAGUGUAACUAGUCUUUUCCUGGGUCUGGAACUGUUUUAACACAGUGUGGCAAUUUGGAUAAGGCAGGACAGCACUGUGCAGUGGUUCAGAGCAUGGAUUAUGGAGACAGAUCUGCAUCUUACAUGUGUCCCACCGACUUCCAGCUGCAGGAUCUCAAUCACAUUACUUCACCUGUGCGAUCAUAGUUCCUGUCUGUGAAACAGGGAUAGCAGUAGAACCCAGCUCAGGGAGUCGUGGAGAGGAUUCUGUGAGCAUGCGUGUGUAGCGCCUGACAUCAAGGAGAUGCUCCAAACAUGUUAUUCGCAUUAAGCUGUCUCACGGAAAAAUAAUUCUAUAUGCCUAUGUGGAAUUCGUCUGGUAGCAAAACUCAGGGGAAAUAAAAAUAACAAAGGAUCCUCGAAGGUGAAAAGCCUGGAAAGCUUUUUCAAAGGGCUUGUUUGGACACAGCCUCUAGAGCGGAUAGCAGAGACGUGCCUUUCCUUAACGCCUUGGUCCAGGAUGCAGCCUCCGAAGUGGACCCGCACACUUCAGCUCUGCCUCUGGAGCGUGAUUUCUCCUGGAAAUGGUCCUAACGGAAAAUAGUAGACGGUUACUUACUUGCCAGGAGAAGAAUCAAGGGAGAGCGUGUAUUUACUUUGGGCGAUUUUCCCAUUGCACUGUGUUCGCCUGCCAGGAAGUUAAAAAUAGUGGUGAUAAGCAGUCUGUGCAUUGGUCUCUCCUGCAGGGGCAAGGGUCAACCGAAAGUAGAAUGGUUCCUCCUGCCCCCUGAGAGCUCUGCUUUAUCCCCCCAAAAGUCCUGUUUCGAGAGCUCCUCUUGCAGCUUCUGUCUGCUGCUGUCCUGCACCCUACGCUCCUUGCCUGAGUUUCCCGGCCUGUCGCAUCCAUUCAUCAGACUUCUCAGCAGCCUAUGUUAAACCAACUGGUUUGGGAUGGCCUCAUGCUUUACAUCCGCUAUUUAUAACCAAUAAUUUAUGUUUUCAUGAGCCUUCAUGUACCAGCUGGUCUUUGUGCCACUGUAAUAAGGGAAUAAUGAAAUGCAUGGUAUUUAUACCGGUGGCUCUAGUGUCUGUCGUUUUGUACAUGGAUGGGUAUUGUAGGAAGCAUGUCAAAUUGCAGAGGGUCUUUUUUUUUUUUCCUUUUCAAGAUAAGUCCUAGCAUAUUAAAUAUUCAUCUGCCAUGUAAGAACACUAUACCAUCUUUUUUACUUUCUUCAUCCCCAUUUUCUCAUGGAAAUAUAUUCAGAUGUCUACAAUAUGUACUGUUCUCAUAAAAUGCUCCUCAUGGCAACUGGUCCCCUGAGCAAAGCAUUAAAAAACAAACAAACAAAC